GAUGAACGCUGGCGGCGUGCCUAAUACAUGCAAGUCGAGCGGACGGACGUGAUUCUUGCUUCGCUGAUGUUAGCGGCGCACGGGCGAGUAACACGUGGAUAACCUACCUAUAAGACUGGGGUAACUUCGGGAAACCGGAGCUAAUACCGGAUAAUAGUUUGAACCGCAGGGUUCAAAAGUGAAAGACGGUCUAGCUGUCACUUAUAGAUGGAUCCGCGCUGCAUUAGCUAGUUGGUAAGGUAACGGCUUACCAAGGCAACGAGGCAUAGCCGACCUGAGAGGGUGAUCGGACACACUGGAACUGAGACACGGUCCAGACUCCUACGGGAGGCCGCAGUAGGGAAUCUUCCGCGAUGGGCGAAAGCCUGACGGAGCAACGCCGCGUGAGUGAUGAAGGUCUUCGGAUCGUAAAACUCUGUUAUUAGGGAAGAACAUAUGUGUAAGUAACUGAGCACAUCUUGACGGUACCUAAUCAGAAAGCCACGGCUAACUACGUG
Molecule: ribosomal RNA, 497 nt
Filed under: uncultured bacterium
Lineage: Bacteria
Description: partial 16S ribosomal RNA
Rfam family: Bacterial small subunit ribosomal RNA
Source: RNAcentral